UACGUAGGGGGCAAGCGUUAUCCGGAUUUACUGGGUGUAAAGGGAGCGUAGGCGGUUCAGCAAGUCAGAAGUGAAAGCCCGGGGCUCAACCCCGGGACUGCAUUUGGAACUGUAUAGCUAGAGUGUCGGAGAGGCAGGCGGAAUUCCUAGUGUAGCGGUGAAAUGCGUAGAUAUUAGGAGGAACACCAGUGGCGAAGGCGGCCUGCUGGACGGAGACUGACGCUGAGGCUCGAAAGCGUGGGGAGCAAACAGG
This 253-nucleotide ribosomal RNA is filed under the name uncultured Blautia sp. Its description in RNAcentral is "partial 16S ribosomal RNA". It matches the Rfam family "Bacterial small subunit ribosomal RNA", at positions 524 to 776 of the family's 1533-position model. The record is from RNAcentral. Lineage: Bacteria; Bacillati; Bacillota; Clostridia; Lachnospirales; Lachnospiraceae.